Molecule: ribosomal RNA, 271 nt
Filed under: uncultured bacterium
Lineage: Bacteria
Description: partial 16S ribosomal RNA
Rfam family: Bacterial small subunit ribosomal RNA
Source: RNAcentral
CGAUCUUAGUGGCGGACGGGUGAGUAACGCGUGGGUAACCGUAGCCUUAUACAGGGGGAGUAACACUUAGAAAUAGGCGCUAAUACCGCAUAAGCGCACGGGGCGUGCAUGGCCCAGUGUGAAAAACUCCGGUGGUAUAAGAUGGACCCGCGUCUGAUUAGCUUGUUGGCGGGGUAACGGCCCACCAAGGCGACGAUCAGUAGCCGGCCUGAGAGGGUGGACGGCCACAUUGGGACUGAGACACGGCCCAAACUCCUACGGAAGGCAGCAG